GAUGAAGAACGUAGCGAAAUGCGAUAAGUAAUGUGAAUUGCAGAAUUCAGUGAAUCAUCGAAUCUUUGAACGCACAUUGCGCCCGCCAGUAUUCUGGCGGGCAUGCCUGUCUGAGCGUCAUUUCAACCCUCAUGCCCCUAGGGCGUGGUGUUGGGGAUCGGCCAAAGCCCGCGAGGGACGGCCGGCCCCUAAAUCUAGUGGCGGACCCAUCGUGGCCUCCUCUGCGAAGUAGUGAUAUUCCGCAUCGGAGAGCGAUGAGCCCCUGCCGUUAAACCCCCAACUUUCCAAGGUUGACCUCAGAUCAGGUAGGAAUACCCGCUGAACUUAAGCAUAUCAAUAAGCGGAGGA
This 348-nucleotide unclassified non-coding RNA is filed under the name soil metagenome. Its description in RNAcentral is "partial contains 5.8S ribosomal RNA, internal transcribed spacer 2, and large subunit ribosomal RNA". The stretch from base 1 to 120 matches the Rfam family "5.8S ribosomal RNA", at positions 35 to 154 of the family's 154-position model. The record is from RNAcentral.